RNAcentral lists this ribosomal RNA (468 nucleotides) under uncultured bacterium. RNAcentral describes it as "partial 16S ribosomal RNA". It matches the Rfam family "Bacterial small subunit ribosomal RNA", at positions 28 to 507 of the family's 1533-position model. The record is from RNAcentral.
GACGAACGCUGGCGGCGUGCUUAACACAUGCAAGUCGAACGGAAAGGUCCUGUCUUUGUGGGGUGCUGGAGUGGCGAACGGGUGAGUAACACGUGAGUAAGCUGUCAUUGCCUUUGGGAGAACUUCAGGAAGCUGGGGGUAUUACCGGAUAGGAGCUCUUGCUGCUUGGUGGGGGUUGGUAAGUUUCGGCUGUUGGGGAUGGACUCGCGGCUUAUCAGCUUGAUGGGGUGGUAGUGGCUUACCAAGGCUAUGAAGGGUGGCAGGCCUGAUAGGGUAACCUGCCACAUUGGAACUGGAAUGCGACCCAGACUCCAACGGUAGGCAGCAGUGGAGAAUGUUACACUAGGGACGGAACCCUAAUGCAGCAACGCCGCGUGCGGUAUGACGUCCUUCGCGUUGUAUUCCACUGUCCCCUGUGACGAAACGUGAAUGACGGUAAUGGGUAAAUAAGCACCGGCUAACUACGUG